GACGAACGCUGGCGGCGUGCUUAACACAUGCAAGUCGAACGGAAAGGCCCUUCGGGGUACUCGAGUGGCGAACGGGUGAGUAACACGUGGGUGAUCUGCCCUGCACUUUGGGAUAAGCCUGGGAAACUGGGUCUAAUACCGAAUAGGACCACGCGCUUCAUGGUGUGUGGUGGAAAGCUUUUGCGGUGUGGGAUGGGCCCGCGGCCUAUCAGCUUGUUGGUGGGGUAAUGGCCUACCAAGGCGACGACGGGUAGCCGGCCUAAGAGGGUGACCGGCCACACUGGGACUGAGAUACGGCCCAGACUCCUACGGGAGGCAGCAGUGGGGAAUAUUGCACAAUGGGCGCAAGCCUGAUGCAGCGACGCCGCGUGAGGGAUGACGGCCUUCGGGUUGUAAACCUCUUUCAAUAGGGACGAAGCGCAAGUGACGGUACCUAUAGAAGAAGCACCGGCCAACUACGUG
This 462-nucleotide ribosomal RNA is filed under the name uncultured bacterium. RNAcentral's name for it is "partial 16S ribosomal RNA". It matches the Rfam family "Bacterial small subunit ribosomal RNA", at positions 28 to 507 of the family's 1533-position model. The record is from RNAcentral.